ACUGACAUUUUUUUCUCAGCCAGUGACACAGAAACGACUGCUGCUGUGAGCGACUGUGCGGGAGCAUUGAUCUUCAAUGGAGGCGGCGCCGCCACUUGCUUCCUCACAAUCUCGCUUCUUCUCAUCUUCCUUCUCCACCUCUUCUUCUCCUUCAUCUACACCGUUUAUUCUUCACCGUAAUUUCCACAGAACCAACCUCAAAUUCAAAUCAAGAACCCUUUCAAUUCGCUGCUCCGGGGCCGCGGAUAAUGUCGUUACUCUUCUUGAUUACGGUGCCGGCAAUGUCCGUAGUGUGAGGAACGCGAUUCGCUUUCUCGGAUUUGAUAUCAAAGAUGUGCAAACUCCAGAAGACAUUCUAAAUGCAAAUUGCCUUAUUUUUCCGGGCGUUGGGGCAUUUGCUGCAGCCAUGGAUGUACUAAACAAGAAAGGGAUGGCUGAAGCUCUAUGUACUUACAUUGAGAAUGAUCGCCCAUUUUUAGGCAUUUGUCUUGGGCUACAGCUACUUUUUGAGUCCAGUGAGGAAAAUGGACCAGUGAGAGGUCUUGGCUUGAUACCUGGUGUUGUUGGGCGUUUUGACUCAACUAAUGGUUUUAGAGUACCUCAUAUUGGAUGGAAUGCUUUACACACAGUGAAAGACUCUGAAAUUUUGGAUGAUAUUGGAAACCGUCAUGUCUAUUUUGUUCAUUCUUACCGUGCCAUGCCAUCAAAUGAUAACAAAGAGUGGGUUUCAUCUACUUGCAAUUAUGGUGAUAAUUUCAUAGCAUCAGUCAGAAGGGGAAAUGUGCAUGCAGUUCAGUUUCAUCCAGAGAAGAGUGGAGAUGUCGGGCUGUCUAUAUUGAGAAGGUUCUUGUAUCCAAAAUCUUCCACAACAAAGAAACCAGGGGAAGGGAGGGCUUCAAAACUUGCAAAAAGGGUAAUUGCUUGUCUUGAUGUGAGGACAAAUGAUAAAGGAGACCUUGUUGUAACCAAAGGAGACCAGUAUGAUGUAAGAGAAAAUACAGGAGAGAAUGAGGUAAGGAACCUUGGCAAGCCGGUGGAGCUUGCUGGACAGUAUUACAUAGAUGGAGCUGAUGAGGUCAGUUUUCUGAAUAUUACUGGUUUCCGAGACUUCCCUUUAGGUGAUUUGCCCAUGUUGGAGAUAUUGAGAUACACAUCAGAAAAUGUUUUUGUACCAUUGACAGUCGGAGGUGGAAUUAGAGAUUUUACAGAUGCAAAUGGCAGGUAUUAUUCUAGUUUGGAAGUUGCUUCAGAAUAUUUCAGGUCGGGGGCAGAUAAAAUUUCUAUUGGAAGCGAUGCAGUUUAUGCUGCUGAAGAAUAUAUAAGAACUGGAGUGAAGACCGGAAAGACCAGCUUAGAACAGAUUUCAAGAGUUUAUGGAAACCAGGCAGUGGUUGUAAGCAUUGAUCCCCGUAGAGUUUACGUCAAUGCUCCUGAUGAUAUAGAGUUCAAGGCUGUUAGGGUGACAAACCCAGGGCCAAAUGGAGAGGAAUAUGCCUGGUACCAGUGCACUGUUAAUGGUGGGCGAGAAGGUAGACCAAUUGGAGCUUAUGAGCUUGCAAAAGCAGUUGAAGAGCUGGGAGCUGGAGAAAUACUACUCAACUGCAUUGAUUGUGAUGGUCAAGGGAAAGGAUUUGAUAUAGAUUUAAUAAAGCUGAUCUCAGAUGCUGUGAGCAUUCCUGUGAUUGCAAGUAGUGGUGCGGGUGUAGUUGAGCAUUUCUCAGAGGUUUUCAAGAAAACAAAUGCAUCUGCUGCUCUUGCAGCUGGCAUUUUCCACCGGAAGGAGGUACCCAUUCAGUCUGUCAAGGAGCACUUGUUAGAGACAGGCAUAGAAGUCAGAAUGUAACAUGAUCAUCACUGAUAUACCUUUUCAGUACUUCACAGCAACCAAAAAAAUAAAAAGCAAGAAAAACAAAGAAAAAUGUCUGAAUUAUGAUUUUGACCGAGCAUCUGUUUCAUCAUAUCCUUUCUGUCAUUCAAAGUAAGAUGUGCGACAAUAUCAUUUAGAACCCGAAUCACAUGGCAGGGUGCAGUACCAGUAGAAGCCCAAGGUUUGUCGGGUCUUGGUUAUUUGCCUAAGCAUUUGGACUACGUGAACCGUGUUCAUCAUUCAUGCCCGGUGACUAAAACAGUCCCCAAGUGCCUUCUAUUUUAAACUAGCCAUCUUUUUCAUGCCUUGAAGCCUCAGUGGCCUUUUUAACCUUAGAAAGGAAGAAUUCUCGGAAUUCCGGAGUCCCUCUUUUAUCUUAUUAGAUUGCUUCGUGGAAAUAGCAGUCUGGUCUAUGUUUUUAUCUUUGUUGUUGUGAUCGACUUGAAAUAUCAAACAAAAGCUUACGUUAAACUCCUAAUAUUCAACAUCUAAAUCACGUCCAUUACAAUACACUAGUGUUUUAAAUGUGGGACUGUGCUGGAAUUUAUAAUUUGAUAGAUUCGCUCAUUCAAUGCCCAUAUAUUCUUAAGU
Vitis riparia (riverbank grape) is the source of this 2458-nucleotide RNA transcript. It is a transcript of the gene named imidazole glycerol phosphate synthase hisHF, chloroplastic, with no coding region annotated. The record is from RefSeq and is a predicted model, not a curated record. The transcript is spliced from 20 exons. NCBI's taxonomy places the organism in Eukaryota, Viridiplantae, Streptophyta, Magnoliopsida, Vitales, Vitaceae.